Molecule: long non-coding RNA, 796 nt
Filed under: Equus caballus (horse)
Lineage: Eukaryota; Metazoa; Chordata; Mammalia; Perissodactyla; Equidae
Description: lncRNA (ENSECAG00000054479.1)
Source: RNAcentral
GCGUGGAGUUGGCUCUAGAGCGGGGCUGUUUGGAAAUGGGAUUUGGGGCCUGAGACUGUUGGAGGUUCCAUGUGGCAGCCUGGACUUAGGUGAGCCUAGGAAAAGCAACUCGCUCAGUUAACAGAAGGACUCAAGCCUCCGCCCGUCACAAAGUCUCAGAGCUGGUGGGGUCAGUGGGAGCCCAGCCGCGCUUCUUCUGCCGCUCGCUCCUGCCUGUCUUCAGCUUCACACUUUUUGCCUCAAGUUGGCGGUAUUACAGUAGGGGAGGAGGAGUCAUCCUUAAGUCUGGACCAAAACUUGAAGGAAUGAGAUCCUCGAGAGGUGGGAUAGGAAGAAGUCGAUCUUUGACCGAAUCUUACCCCAGGCUGUGAACAGCUGAGAAUGCAGCAAGAAGUUGGAAGACCCUCAGAGAGAAAUCGGAUGAAGUCCUUGUUGGCUCGAGGAUGCAAUCAAUGACUGCAGGCUGCUGGCUUUUGUCAGUUUUGAAGCUUCUGGAAAGCUGAGCAGAUGAGCCCAGCAGCCCUCAGUCCUGAAGGAGUCCUGCCUCCUCCCAGCCCCAACCUGGGGUCCCAGAGUGCACGUAUAAGAACAAGAUUUUACUUUCUCUAUUAUUCACACUGUUAAAGUUAAGAAGUAUAAUGGGAUAUGUAACCGCAUUUAUAGUUUGUUAUUUUGUUAUUUUUAUAUGUUGCAUUUAUUAAAUCAAGUUUUAUGUUGCCUUGUCUUAAUUUUCAAAGCAUGUGUUAUUUAAUAUCAAAUAUUUACUCUCUUACAAUAAAGAAAAAAUACAUCAACC